This is a non-coding RNA of Peromyscus maniculatus bairdii (prairie deer mouse), 332 nucleotides long. The record is from RefSeq and is a predicted model, not a curated record. NCBI's taxonomy places the organism in Eukaryota, Metazoa, Chordata, Mammalia, Rodentia, Cricetidae.
CCAGAGACAGAUAUGGAUGCUACUGUGCUGUGGUGAGGCCCUGAAUCCCAGCAUCUUGGGUGUACCAGUCCCAGUGACAACAAGCAGCUCACUUGGACAUGCUACAUUAAUGGCCUGUCAACCCACCAGUACCAAGCCCCGUGGGGAGCAGAGGAAGCCUUGGAUGAACAUAGAAAGAAUGAGUGAAGUCCUGAAGCUGUAUGAGGAAUAAAGCCCUGAGCAGAGUUUCAUGGCUACAGAUGCCCAGUUAGGGAGCAGCCUUUAUUCCUAAAUGUAUUGUGUAACUAAUUCAGAAUAUGAGCCAAAGAAAUAAACUGUUACUUUCAGGCUAA